GUUGGUGAACCCAGCGGAGGGAUCAUUACAGAGUUGCAAAACUCCCUAAACCAUUGUGGACGCUACCUUUUAACGUUGCUUCGGCGGGCGGCCCGCUCCCCUGGAAAGCCCCUGUGGCCGCCCGGGGCUGCGAGCCCCCCGGCCCCCCUCGCGGGGGCGCCCGCCGGAGGAUACCCAACUCUUGAUUAUUUUAGGCCUCUCUGAGUCUUCUGUACUGAAUAAGUCAAAACUUUCAACAACGGAUCUCUUGGUUCUGGCAUCGAUGAAGAACGCAGCGAAAUGCGAUAAGUAAUGUGAAUUGCAGAAUUCAGUGAAUCAUCGAAUCUUUGAACGCACAUUGCGCCCGCCAGUAUUCUGGCGGGCAUGCCUGUUCGAGCGUCAUUUCAACCAUCAAGCCCCAGGCUUGUGUUGGGGACCUGCGGCUGCCGCAGGCCCUGAAAUCCAGUGGCGGGUUCGCUGUCACCCCGAGCGUAGUAGCAAUAUCUCGCUCAGGGCGUGCUGCGGGCCCGGCCGUU
RNAcentral lists this ribosomal RNA (515 nucleotides) under Parachaetomium hispanicum. Its description in RNAcentral is "eukaryotic LSU rRNA". The stretch from base 228 to 381 matches the Rfam family "5.8S ribosomal RNA". The record is from RNAcentral. Lineage: Eukaryota; Fungi; Ascomycota; Sordariomycetes; Sordariales; Chaetomiaceae.